RNAcentral lists this ribosomal RNA (1329 nucleotides) under feces metagenome. Its description in RNAcentral is "bacterial LSU rRNA". It matches the Rfam family "Bacterial large subunit ribosomal RNA", at positions 692 to 2003 of the family's 2925-position model. The record is from RNAcentral.
GCGUCUAGUUGCAAGAUAUAGACCCGAAACCCGGUGAUCUAGCCAUGGGCAGGUUGAAGGUUGGGUAACACUAACUGGAGGACCGAACCGACUAAUGUUGAAAAAUUAGCGGAUGACCUGUGGCUGGGGGUGAAAGGCCAAUCAAACCGGGAGAUAGCUGGUUCUCCCCGAAAUCUAUUUAGGUAGAGCCUUGAGCGGACACCUUUGGGGGUAGAGCACUGUUUCGGCUAGGGGGCCAUCCCGGCUUACCAACCCGAUGCAAACUCCGAAUACCAAAGAGUGAUACUCAGGAGACACACGGCGGGUGCUAACGUCCGUCGUGGAGAGGGAAACAACCCAGACCGCCAGCUAAGGUCCCAAAGUCUAUAUUAAGUGGGAAACGAAGUGGGAAGGCUUAGACAGCUAGGAUGUUGGCUUAGAAGCAGCCAUCAUUUAAAGAAAGCGUAAUAGCUCACUAGUCGAGUCGGUCUGCGCGGAAGAUGUAACGGGGCUAAAAUAUAGCACCGAAGCUGCGGCAUCAGACGAAAGUCUGUUGGGUAGGGGAGCGUUGUGUAAGCGGAAGAAGGUGUAUUGAGAAGUAUGCUGGACGUAUCACAAGUGCGAAUGCUGACAUAAGUAACGAUAAAACGAGUGAAAAACUCGUUCGCCGAAAGAUCAAGGUUUCCUGUCCAACGUUAAUCGGGGCAGGGUGAGUCGACCCCUAAGGCAAGGCUGAAAAGCGUAGUCGAUGGGAAACGGGUUAAUAUUCCCGUACUUGUAAUAACAGCGAUGUGGGGACGGAGCAGGUUAGGUUAUCAAACUGUUGGAAUAGUUUGUUUAAGCUAGUAGGCGGAACAUUUAGGCAAAUCCGGAUGUUCAAGACGUCGAGAGGUGAUGACGAGAUGCGAUAGCAUUGAAGUGACUGAUACCACACUUCCAGGAAAAGCCACUAAGUAUUAAUGUUAUUAUAAAUCGUACUGUAAACCGACACAGGUGAUCAGGUAGAGAAUACUCAGGCGCUUGAGAGAACUCGGGUGAAGGAACUAGGCAAAAUAGCACCGUAACUUCGGGAGAAGGUGCGCCGGCGUAGAUUGUAGUCCCUUGCGGAUGAAGGUUGAACCGGUCGAAGAUACCAGCUGGCUGCAACUGUUUAUUAAAAACACAGCACUCUGCAAACACGAAAGUGGACGUAUAGGGUGUGAUGCCUGCCCGGUGCUGGAAGGUUAAUUGAUGGGGUUAGCGCAAGCGAAGCUCCUGAUCGAAGCCCCAGUAAACGGCGGCCGUAACUAUAACGGUCCUAAGGUAGCGAAAUUCCUUGUCGGGUAAGUUCCGACCUGCACGAAUGGCGUA